RNAcentral lists this small RNA (2823 nucleotides) under Pan troglodytes (chimpanzee). RNAcentral describes it as "retained intron". The record is from RNAcentral. Lineage: Eukaryota; Metazoa; Chordata; Mammalia; Primates; Hominidae.
AUUAAAGCGUCAUAGGCACACAGAGGAGUGUGUGAAUCCUGAGUGUACAGCUUGAUGGAUUACACAGAGCGAACACACUCACGUAACACUGGAUCAUGAAGCAGAACCUCACCAGCCCCUAGAAGGCCCCUUUUGCCCCUUUCGGUGCCCUCACCCCAAGGGCAACCAUCAUCCUGAACUUUCUCAACAGCAUAGAUGAGUUUUGCCUGUUUCUGAACUUUAUAGACACGGAACCUUGUUCUUUUAUCUCUGACCUUUUGCUCAACAUUACAUUUCUGAGAUGCAUCCGUAUUGUUGCAUUUAGUUGUAGGUUGUUCAUUUUCCUUGCUGUGGAAGAUUCAGUUGUGUGGGUGUACCAUGAUUUAUGUAUCCUUUAUGUUGUUGAUGGGCACUUGAGGUGGCUUCUGGUUUGGGGCUAUUACAGACAGUGCUACUCUGAACAUUCUUGCACAAGUCUUUUGGUGGACAUACGAACGUACUUCUGUCAGGUAUUUUCCUAGAGGGAGGAUUGCUGGGUCAUAAGGAAAUAGGUAUAUUCGGCUUUAGUGGCUAUGGCCAAAUGGUUUUCCAAAAUGGUUGUGCCAAUUUAUAUUCCCUUCAGCAGGCAAACAUUUUUGCACACAUUCUAGAUGUAGUUGUACCUGUGAAAAAAAUUCCUGUCCUCAGACAUGCACUCCCAUCCCCUGGUGUGUGCAGAUCACACUUAAUUGUACGUAAAUAAUGCACGUGUGCAGACUGUGCCAGCCUUCACCUGGGCAAGUGCAGAACAGGGUGAGCCUGCACACCACAUGCCACACUCCCCAAGCCCUGUCGCUGGGCGGGGCUUAUAGGAAGGCGGGGCACUGACUUCCUGGGUCUCUGUCUUCCAGAACAUCCACCAGUGGUGUGGUUCCAACAGCAAUCGGUAUGAAAGACUGAAGGCCACACAGGUGUCCAAGGGCAUCCGGGACAACGAGCGGAGUGGCCGGGCCCGAGUGCACGUGUCUGAGGAGGGCGCUGAGCCCGAGGCGAUGCUCCAGGUGCUGGGCCCCAAGCCGGCUCUGCCUGCAGGUACCGAGGACACCGCCAAGGAGGAUGCGGCCAACCGCAAGCUGGCCAAGCUCUACAAGGUCUCCAAUGGUGCAGGGACCAUGUCCGUCUCCCUCGUGGCUGAUGAGAACCCCUUCGCCCAGGGGGCCCUGAAGUCAGAGGACUGCUUCAUCCUGGACCACGGCAAAGAUGGGAAAAUCUUUGUCUGGAAAGGCAAGCAGGCAAACACGGAGGAGAGGAAGGCUGCCCUCAAAACAGCCUCUGACUUCAUCACCAAGAUGGACUACCCCAAGCAGACUCAGGUCUCGGUCCUUCCUGAGGGCGGUGAGACCCCACUGUUCAAGCAGUUCUUCAAGAACUGGCGGGACCCAGACCAGACAGAUGGCCUGGGCUUGUCCUACCUUUCCAGCCAUAUCGCCAACGUGGAGCGGGUGCCCUUCGACGCCGCCACCCUGCACACCUCCACUGCCAUGGCCGCCCAGCACGGCAUGGAUGACGAUGGCACAGGCCAGAAACAGAUCUGGAGAAUCGAAGGUUCCAACAAGGUGCCCGUGGACCCUGCCACAUAUGGACAGUUCUAUGGAGGCGACAGCUACAUCAUUCUGUACAACUACCGCCAUGGUGGCCGCCAGGGGCAGAUAAUCUACAACUGGCAGGGUGCCCAGUCUACCCAGGAUGAGGUCGCUGCAUCUGCCAUCCUGACUGCUCAGCUGGAUGAGGAGCUGGGAGGUACCCCUGUCCAGAGCCGUGUGGUCCAAGGCAAGGAGCCCGCCCACCUCAUGAGCCUGUUUGGUGGGAAGCCCAUGAUCAUCUACAAGGGCGGCACCUCCCGCGAGGGCGGGCAGACAGCCCCUGCCAGCACCCGCCUCUUCCAGGUCCGCGCCAACAGCGCUGGAGCCACCCGGGCUGUCGAGGUAUUGCCUAAGGCUGGUGCACUGAACUCCAACGAUGCCUUUGUUCUGAAAACCCCCUCAGCUGCCUACCUGUGGGUGGGUACAGGAGCCAGCGAGGCAGAGAAGACGGGGGCCCAGGAGCUGCUCAGGGUGCUGCGGGCCCAACCUGUGCAGGUGGCAGAAGGCAGCGAGCCAGAUGGCUUCUGGGAGGCCCUGGGCGGGAAGGCUGCCUACCGCACAUCCCCACGGCUGAAGGACAAGAAGAUGGAUGCCCAUCCUCCUCGCCUCUUUGCCUGCUCCAACAAGAUUGGACGUUUUGUGAUUGAAGAGGUUCCUGGUGAGCUCAUGCAGGAAGACCUGGCAACGGAUGACGUCAUGCUUCUGGACACCUGGGACCAGGUCUUUGUCUGGGUUGGAAAGGAUUCUCAAGAAGAAGAAAAGACAGAAGCCUUGACUUCUGGUGAGGACCCGAGUGCCUGGGGGCGGGGGGGAGGGGUCCGUUGCUUGUGGGGUGGUGGGAGUGGCUCCUGUACAGGUCUGGGAAUGAGCAUCUUUCCAGGGGACUGAUGGACAAGAAAGGGUGGGGACUUCCUCCUCUGUGGGCCAGCCCCUCAUAAAUCCUGCCUGGGAUAGUGAAGAACACAUCAGUUCCUUCAGAAACCCUGAGGCUUCUCGAAGAAGCCUCUCCUCUGUUCCAGGAGAAGGAAGGGACAUGAAAAGUCACUUCAAGUUCCCAGAAUACUCAGGAGCUGAACUUGUCAAGGUUUAGAUGUGGCAAAGCAGGCCAGGCAUGGUGACUCAUGCAUGUAAUCCCAGCAUUUUGGGAGGCCAAGGCAGGAGGAUCACUUGAGUCCAGGAGUUUGAGAGCAGCCCAGGCAACAUAGUGAAACCCCAUCUCUAG